CUGUUAACUCCUCACCGUCAGCCUCCGAGACCAUGAUCAUUCUCCCUCCUGAAACAAUGAAAGCAUGGCUUUGAGAAGAGGCAUACCACCUGAGGUUCUCUGGCCAGGACAUGGCAGACUGGGACUAGAGCUGGACAUUUUACCCCAAGGUGAUGGAUCCCAUCCUGAGCCUUAUAGACUUGAGGAAUUUUCUCUACCUUCCUCACACAGAAGCCGCUUGCUCACUUGUGUUCCAUCUUGAGUGCUUGAGCUGACAUGUACAUAUACCACCUGUUAUGGGCUGAAGUGUGUCCCUGCCCCAAAUUUAGAUGUUGAAGUCCUCACUCUCAGCACCUUAGAACGUAACCAUGUUUGAAGAAAAAAUCUUCUGAGAGGUAAUUAAGCUAAAAUGAAGUCUUCAGGGUGGGCCUUAAUCCAAUGUGACUGGUGUGCUUAUAAGAAGAGGAAAUUUGGACCCAUGGAAAGACAACAGAAGCAUGCACAGACAGAGGGACCCCGUGUGAAGACACUGCGAAAACGUGGCCAUCUGCAAGCCAGGGGGAGAAGUCUUGAGAGAAACUAGCCCUGCCAAUGCCUUGAUUUUGGACUUCUAGCCUCUAUAACUGUGAGAAAAUAAAUCUCUGUUGUUUAA
This 631-nucleotide long non-coding RNA is filed under the name Pongo abelii (Sumatran orangutan). Its description in RNAcentral is "lincRNA". The record is from RNAcentral. Lineage: Eukaryota; Metazoa; Chordata; Mammalia; Primates; Hominidae.